Molecule: small RNA, 258 nt
Filed under: Arabidopsis thaliana (thale cress)
Lineage: Eukaryota; Viridiplantae; Streptophyta; Magnoliopsida; Brassicales; Brassicaceae
Description: ATSL164250
Source: RNAcentral
UUUCCCCCCGUUAUAUAGCAAAGAUCACGAAAAGGCCCGAAAAAGUACAUUUAGUUCAAAAUUUGGAGUAGAAAAAAAAACAAUAGAAGAAUUCCAUUUUCCUUCGUCAUUCAUCGGAGAGCUCUCUUUAGGCUUUCCGAAAAGGUAUCACAUGCCAAGUUUGGCCUCACGGUCUAAAAGUUAUAGAGUCAUACAUUUUUAACAAAACAAAAUAGAGAAAAACCGAAAAAAGAGGGAUUUAACACGAGGACUUUCUGA